RNAcentral lists this transfer RNA (73 nucleotides) under Maculabatis gerrardi (sharpnose stingray). RNAcentral's name for it is "tRNA-Thr". It matches the Rfam family "tRNA". From Rfam's summary of the family: Transfer RNA (tRNA) molecules are approximately 80 nucleotides in length. Their secondary structure includes four short double-helical elements and three loops (D, anti-codon, and T loops). Lineage: Eukaryota; Metazoa; Chordata; Chondrichthyes; Myliobatiformes; Dasyatidae. The record is from RNAcentral.
GUUCUGGUAGCCCAGUAUUUAAAGCGUCGGUCUUGUAAACCGAAGAUCGGAGAUGAAAUUCCUCCCCAGAACA